UGCGCAGGCGGCCAUGUGUGUGGGGCGUGAAAGCCCGGGGCUCAACCCCGGAAUUGCACCUCAAACUACAUGGCUAGAGUAUUGGAGAGGGUAACGGAAUUCACGGUGUAGCAGUGAAAUGCGUAGAUAUCGUGAGGAACACCAGAGGCGAAGGCGGUUACCUGGACAAUUACUGACGCUCAGGCACGAAAGCGUGGGGAGCAAAAGGGAUUAGAUACCCCUGUAGUCCACGCCCUAAACUGUGCACACUAGGUCUUGGCGGAUUCGACCCCCCCAGGGCCCAAGCUAACGCGUUAAGUGUGCCGCCUGAGGACUACGGCCGCAAGGCUAAA
This 332-nucleotide ribosomal RNA is filed under the name uncultured bacterium. Its description in RNAcentral is "bacterial SSU rRNA". It matches the Rfam family "Bacterial small subunit ribosomal RNA", at positions 568 to 898 of the family's 1533-position model. The record is from RNAcentral.